RNAcentral lists this unclassified non-coding RNA (26 nucleotides) under Mus musculus (house mouse). RNAcentral describes it as "piRNA piR-mmu-68350225". Lineage: Eukaryota; Metazoa; Chordata; Mammalia; Rodentia; Muridae. The record is from RNAcentral.
UGGGAGUUGAGGUCUCUGUGGAUGAU